Molecule: long non-coding RNA, 193 nt
Organism: Mauremys reevesii (Reeves's turtle)
Lineage: Eukaryota; Metazoa; Chordata; Testudines; Geoemydidae
Exons: 3
Source: RefSeq, a predicted model, not a curated record
CAGACAUGCUGCCCUCUGAACUGGAGACCCAAACUGGGGAAUCCCUAGGAGCACACACAGAGGAUGAGAUUGCAGACGUGCUGCCCUCUGAACUGGAGACCCAAACUGGGGAAUCGCUAGGAGCACACACACAGGACAUGCUGCCCUCUGAACUGGAGACCCAAACUGGGGAAUCCCUAGGAGCAUACACACA